Non-coding RNA from Arachis ipaensis, 310 nucleotides. NCBI's taxonomy places the organism in Eukaryota, Viridiplantae, Streptophyta, Magnoliopsida, Fabales, Fabaceae. The record is from RefSeq and is a predicted model, not a curated record.
UGUUCUGAGUAGUUUUCUUUUAGGAAGUGUUUGGAUAACUAUGGUUCGAAUUUGUUGAGUUGUUUGUAUGUGGGGAUGAGCAAGGAAUCUGAGGCAUGCUGGUGUACUUUUUGAUUUGUGGCUAGGAGGAGGGAUAUUCAUGGGGAUUCAAUUAACAAGGCUCAAUUGAAGGACUUUUGGGACCAGAUUUCUGACCAGAGUUUUGAUUCCAGGCUCAGAACCGUCUUUGACAUGGUUGAUAAAGAUGCAGAUGGAAGAAUCACCGAGGAAGAAAUUAAAGAGAUCAUCUGGCUUAGUGCCACAACAAACA